AGAGCAUGCUGGGUAGAGGUGAAAGGUCAGAGUCAGAAAAAUACUUCCAAAGCAAGCUCCCCAAGGAAAAUGGGCACCCAGGGAAAAGUGAUCAGAUGCAAAGCUGCUGUGCUCUGGAAGCCUGGGGCCCCACUUGCCAUUGAGGAGAUAGAAGUGGCCCCACCAAAAGCAAAGGAAGUUCGAAUAAAGAUUGUGGCCACAGGAAGCUGUGGUACCGAUAUAAAAAGUGUGGACACAGAAUACUUUUCUCAGUUUUGCCCCAUCAUUAUGGGCCAUGAAGGCGUUGGGAUAGUCGAGAGUGUGGGGGAAGACGUACGCACGGUAAGAACAGAUUUCGCUGCUUGGCAGGAACAAGCAACAGGCAGUCAACGAACUCACCCCAAGCAGACACUCUGAUCUCCCCUCCUGAUUUGGAAACAGAAAUAUAACAAGAGAAGAAGAAGAAGAAGAAGAAGAAGAAGAAGAAGAAGAAGAAGAAGAAGAAGAAGAAGAAGAAGAAGAAGACAACGACUAUGUUUUCUUUUCUUUCCCUUUCCACACUGGCGGAGGUACAACACAGAGCACACCUGUGGGCAAUCAGGCCCCGAUCCUGGCACUUAUUCUGUGAGCAUGGCAUCCGUACUACUUUAACUCUGGACCCACAGUGGGAGUCAGGGCAGAGAGCAGCAGAUGCAGUUUUUAAAGGCACAUAACGAAACUGCGUGCCGUGGUAUUCCAAAUAUGCCUUACAAAGUGGGCAGAUCUGGGGCCAGCUCCUAGAGUCAGUCACGGCCGGAUGUGGACACUGAAAAUAUCUGCUUGUGAUCGGGCACAGUUAAAAGUGGAACUAACUCUCCAUUAUCACGUGUUCUUGAUGCUUUGCUGUUGCCAUCCUAAGAGACAAGACUACUCUGCUAUUUCAUCCUAACCGAGCACUUUGCCUUUCUAGGUGAUAAAGUUAUCAUGUUAUAUGUACCACAGUGUGGAGAAAGUGGUACUUGCCUGAACUCCAAGAACAGCAUUUGUGCAGAAGUUAGGUAGCUCUUUAUUACUAUUUUUUAAAAGUCUAAUUCAGUUCCAAUUGAAGAGAUUUAAGUUUUUUUAAUAAAAAGUACAAUUUGUUUCCUUUCAUCUAUCAAAGACUGGCAGAAACACAUCUGACAUCUGAAGGCACCGGCAGAAUUACCUGCAAUGGGAAGUUAGUGCAGCAAUAUGGUACUCUGGGCACCUUAUCUGAAUACACAGUCCUAAGGGAAAUCUCAGUUGCCAAGGUUGACGAAGGUGCUUCCCUAGAGAAGGCGUGCAUAAUUAGCUGUGGGUUUGCCACUGGAUAUGGAGCUGCAAUCAACUCUGCCAAAGGGAGGAGCAUUUACAUCCAUUGAGAAAUAGAAUUAAUGUGAAAAGAAGGUGAAACACCUCUCACAUCAGAGUACCGCCUGGUCAUACCACCUGAUGAAGCAUAAAUUUACCUCUAGGCACUCUUAAAUUUAUUGAAUGAUUUGAUUGCCUGCACAGACACCCCAUGCUAUUCAGGAGUACAGAUAUAUAGACUUUAAAUAUAACACAAUUAUAACACAACUGUAUCUUUCCAUACUCCAGUUCAUUUCAUUCAAUGAGCAGUGGUGAAGCUUUUCUCUGUUCAUCUGGAAAACAAAACCCCUCAUCAAGCUUACAUUCUAACUGAGCAGUAUAUUAAUUAAUGAGAAGUAAAGCUGGGGGCGGUGCUAAAUGUGUACAUCAAGGACAGAAUACAUGCCUGGUGUGCACAAGGUCCUGGAUUCAAUCUGUGUGUAGCAAUCAAUACAAGAACUAGCAGAGCGGUGACUGCACGGGCCAGGGUAUGGGUUACAGUUAAAUUCCUCCUCCUCCUGAAAUAUUACUCUAACCUCCCCAGCUCAGUUCUUUCAGGGCCAUUGAUAUUUAAGCCUCUCUGCCGUGCGCUGUCCUUUAGUCUCAAUGCUACUCAUAGAGAUUGGGAUGUGUCUUAGCUGUGUGUCGAUGUGAGGAGACACCCACAACAAUCACAUUUUGAGGAAGGAAGGUUUAUCAUAUUCAUAACCUCAGACAUGUGGUCCACGCUGGUUUGGCGCUGAGGUGUUGGGGUGUCAGGGGGCAGUAAGUCGUGGCAGGGAAUACUGAGUGGGACAAAACUGAUUAUCUCAGGUAUCCAGGAACAGGAUGAAAAACUAUGCAUAAGAUACAAAAAGAAAGGAGAGCUGGAGCCCUAGAAUCCCUGUAGGGCAUGCGCCCCAAUGUUUUCCCACCACCGGGCUCCUUCAGGAGGUUCUGCUACUUACUUACGACGUCACGGGCUGAGGAGCAAGCUUUUCUCACACGUGUCUUUAAGGCGUGUUCAAAAGGCAAACUCUAAUAGGUGGAAGAGGUUCGGUUUAAACUGGUGCCAAACUGCAUGAUGCUCCGUGAAAAGAAGGAAGGAAAGAAGGAAAGAAGGAAGGGAAGGAGGAAGGGAGGGAGGAAAGGAAGAAGGAAGGAAAGAGGGGGGAACAAAAGAAUAAAGAAACAAGAAUUGACUUCAUCCGGUAAGCGUUAACUUUGAAGUGAUUUGGAGUUCCCAGAUACCCAGAAGAAAAGAGAGAGUUUUCAAGGAGGUGGAGGUAAGUGAAAGAACUCAAACCCCUCCACAACUAAGAAAUAAUCUGCUCCAGUAAAGGAUCCAGGCGGAUUUCAUUGUGUUACUUCCACUCCUGCUAAUUCCUUCCUGAGAUUUUUUUUUCUGAUAGUUUUUAUUUUUAAUGCUGUAUAUAAAUACUAUCUACUAAGAUAAAUAAUUCUCUCUGUUCAUCGUUCCU
Molecule: RNA transcript, 2789 nt
Organism: Mus musculus (house mouse)
Lineage: Eukaryota; Metazoa; Chordata; Mammalia; Rodentia; Muridae
Gene: Adh6-ps1
Gene name: alcohol dehydrogenase 6 (class V), pseudogene 1
Exons: 4
Source: RefSeq, marked validated